This 71-nucleotide transfer RNA is filed under the name Sapajus apella (tufted capuchin). RNAcentral's name for it is "tRNA-Leu". Lineage: Eukaryota; Metazoa; Chordata; Mammalia; Primates; Cebidae. The record is from RNAcentral.
GCUUUUAAACGAUAGUAGUUAUCCAUUGGUCUUAGGAGCGAAAAAUAUUGAUGCAACUCCAAAUAAAAGCA